UGUUCUUCGUCGUUUCGUCUCCUCUUCAACUGAAAGUCGAUGACUCUCUCAAGCGCCUAUUGCGAUGACUUCCAUCAUUAUUUUACAUCCCAAAACGACGUCUCUCUUCACAUCUCAAGCUUCGCUCUAUAAAUAAGAUUAUGAUUCCUCUCUUCUCACCAACUCCGCAUACACGGCCAUGAACGAAUACGAAGUUGAUUUUAAAGUUCAUCAACUCCUGUGACGGAACACGCAAGAUGAGGCCUCUCUCCCUCUGAAUUUCUUUAUAACUUUACAUUCUCUUCGGUCCCAGAUAAGCAGGAAUUUCAAUAUCGAUUUUAAUUUACGAACUCGGGCUCAAAGGUAACGAAGUUGAAAUUAAUAUGAGAGGUUUAAGAACUUCAUGAGCAAUUUGUUUACCCAUCUCAUUUAUGUCGGAGGCGGCGAUUCUAGGGUUCCUGCAUAACAACGAACCAAUCUUAGAUUCCGGUCAAUUCGCAGCGGAGCACAAUCUCGACCACGACGAAGUCAAAAAUGCCAUCAAGAGCUUACAAGGUUUCCUCUACAUCGAAGCUAAGGAGCUCAAACGGGAGACAUUGGUUUUGACUGAUGGCGGCAAGAAAUAUGCGGCGGAAGGGUCGCCGGAGAUUCAUUUUUUCUCGGCUAUUCCUGAGGAAGGUAGCAUAUCCAAAGAUGAUCGUGAGAAAAAGCUAGAUCCUUCUGUUUUCAAAAUUGGAAGCACACAAGCUGCUAAAAAGAGGUGGGUUGCAAUGGGAAAGCAAGUCUCUAGGAAGGUUCAACAUGUUGAAGAUAAAGUGAAGGAGUCUCUUCUACAAAUACAACAAGGACUGGUUUCUUUAUUCAGAACUAUUAUGUAGAAAUCUAAUCCAGCUUUUUAUAAUUUAUGAGACUAAGUUGGUCUUUCUUACUUUCAGGAACUUGACAAAGAAAGUCUCAACUCUCUCAAAACCAGGAAACUCUUAGUAACACAGUCACUACCUGCGGGGAUGGAUGGGAUAUUCUGAUGUUGAGAAAGGUCCUAAUUAUGCUCCCAAAAGGAAGAUUAUCGCUACUGACUUGACUCGAGAAAAUUUACACAACUGGAAAGAGUUGGAAUUCAAGGAGUAUAACUUCAAUGCUAAGGGACAACCUCUUGAUGCUGGCCAUCUCCAUCCCCUUCUUAAGGUCUCAGCCUCUCUGUCCUUUUGCCCAUCAGAUCAACAAAGUUUCAUGUCUGAACUUGAUUCCCAGGUCCCUACUGCCUUCGACCCGUUUGCUGAUGCGAAUGCUGAGGACUCAGGUGUGGGAACAAAGGAGUACGUCCACAUCCGUGUGCAGCAGCGCAAUGGUAGGAAAAGCUUGACAACAGUACAAGGGUUGAAGAAAGAGUAUAUUUACGGCAAUAUACUUAAGGACCUCAAGAAAGAGUUUUGUUGCAACGGUACAUUGGUUCAUGACUCUGAACUCGGACAGGUUCAUGUUUUUUUUACAGCAAGAUACUUAAUUACCUUAAGAAAGAGUUUUGUUGCAACGGGGUUCCCCACUUACGUAGAUCAUUCCACUGGGUCCGGUUAGGCAGCGGUCCACUUCACCCGGGUGGGCUUUACCUUGGCUGGGGAUAAGGCCCAACACCCAGUACCGCAUUUGAUGACAGGAUGGGCAGUUCUCCCCCGCCUGGCGUCGAACCCGGGAGCAUGACAAUUGGCCCCCAAGGCCCUUACCAAACGAGCUACCACAUCCCGUCAAGUCUUUGAAUCUUUCCAAGGACUUCUUUGUUUAUUUACACCUCUUGUACUAAUCCGUUUUGCUAACCAAAAUUCUUACGAGCUUGAAUCUGAGAAAUCCAUAGCGUCCCCACUUGGCUGAACUAUCUGAAUGGUCAGGCCAGUGUGUCGGGCAAAGUGUUGAUAGCAUCCAAGGAAGAGAAGAAUGUAAUAGAGUGCAUUGAUGUUGUGUUUCUGAUCCAAGAACAUAAAGAUGCCCCUUAUUGACAAUUAAGAUUAAUAAAGAUUUGAUUUUGUGGAACUUUCUGUUAUAAGUUAUUGUUGUUUUGGUAGUAUGAUAUUGCCAUUUUUGUCUUUGCUAUAUUUGGUAGAUAUUUCAAGCUAAGUCGCAAGCUUUUAUGUAAAAGGCAGUUACACUCGUGCAAGGACAGACGUCUGGUAUGUAAUUCUUACAUGCUUUUUUGUAUGUUACAAUGGUUAUUUGGGCAUUUUCCAUUA
This is an RNA transcript of Brassica napus (rape), 2201 nucleotides long. It is a transcript of the gene named phenylalanine--tRNA ligase alpha subunit-like, with no coding region annotated. The record is from RefSeq and is a predicted model, not a curated record. NCBI's taxonomy places the organism in Eukaryota, Viridiplantae, Streptophyta, Magnoliopsida, Brassicales, Brassicaceae. The transcript has 11 exons.